AUCUACAGCCAUACCACCCUGAACGUGCCCAAUCUUGUCUGAUCUUGGAAGCUUAGCAGGGUCGGGCCCCUUUAGUGCUUGGAUGGGAGACCGCCUGGGACCAGGUGCUGUAGCCU
Molecule: ribosomal RNA, 116 nt
Organism: Cercocebus atys (sooty mangabey)
Lineage: Eukaryota; Metazoa; Chordata; Mammalia; Primates; Cercopithecidae
Source: Ensembl